RNAcentral lists this ribosomal RNA (301 nucleotides) under uncultured bacterium. RNAcentral's name for it is "partial 16S ribosomal RNA". It matches the Rfam family "Bacterial small subunit ribosomal RNA", at positions 509 to 809 of the family's 1533-position model. The record is from RNAcentral.
CAGCAGCCGCGGGAAUACGUAGGGUGCAAGCGUUAAUCGGAAUUACUGGGCGUAAAGCGUGCGCAGGCGGUUCUAUAAGACAGAUGUGAAAUCCCCGGGCUCAACCUGGGAACUGCAUUUGUGACUGUAGAGCUGGAGUGCGGCAGAGGGGGAUGGAAUUCCGCGUGUAGCAGUGAAAUGCGUAGAUAUGCGGAGGAACACCGAUGGCGAAGGCAAUCCCCUGGGCCUGCACUGACGCUCAUGCACGAAAGCGUGGGGAGCAAACAGGAUUAGAUACCCGCGUAGUCCCUGUCUCCUUAUA